Molecule: ribosomal RNA, 838 nt
Filed under: Panorpodes paradoxus
Lineage: Eukaryota; Metazoa; Arthropoda; Insecta; Mecoptera; Panorpodidae
Description: partial 16S rRNA
Source: RNAcentral
GAAGGUGUAUCUAGAAAGACAAAUUAGAGCUUGAAAAAUAAAGCAUUUCAUUUACAUUGAAAAGUAUAUUGUGUAAUUCAAUUUAAUUUGAUAAUAAAAAUUUAUUAAUUUUUUUUGUUUUUAAAUUUAUUUAAUAAAAUUAAUUUUAAAUUAGGUUUUUUUUGUAUAAUAUAUAGAUCAAAUAAUUUAUAUAAUAGUUAAUUAGUAUUGUAAAAGAAUAUUGAAAUAUAUGAAAAAAUUUUAAAUUAAAAGUAAAUUUUAUAUGUUGUACCUUGUGUAUCAGGGUUUAUUAAUUAAAAGUUAAAAAUUUAAUUUUUCUCGAAUUUGAGAGAGUUAAUUUAUUGUUUGAUUUUUUGUUUCAUAAAAAUUUAAAAUAAUAAAUUGGAAAUGAAAUGUUAUUCGUUCUUGAAUAUAUCUAGUUUUUUAAGAAAUAAAUUAAAUUUAGAUUAUUGAUAAAUAAUUAUUUAUUUAAAUAAUAAAUUAUUAUUAAUAAUUAAUAUUUUAAGGGAUAAGCUUUAAAGUAAGUUUUAUAAUAAUUUUUUAAUUUAAAAAUUGUAGGUUUAGAAAUAGUCAUUAAUUAUAAAAAUGUUAUAAUUUAUUUUAAAUUAAAAAUAAUUUUUAUUAAUUUAAGUUUUUAUUAGAAUAAUUUUUGAAAUUAUAUAAAAAUUAAAAUAAUGAUAAAAUUAGUAUAUUUAAUUGUUUAAAAUAAAUAAAUUGAAAGGUUAAGUUAAGGAACUUGGCAAAUAUAAAUACUCGCCUGUUUAACAAAAACAUGUCUUUUUGAAUAUAAUUUAAAGUCUAAUCUGCCCACUGAAAAAGUUUAAAGGGCCGCGGUAUU